Non-coding RNA from Trichonephila clavipes, 73 nucleotides. Lineage: Eukaryota; Metazoa; Arthropoda; Arachnida; Araneae; Nephilidae. The record is from the annotation of a GenBank genome assembly.
GUCCCUGUAGCGCAAUGGAAAGCGCAUUGGACAUCUAAUUCUAUGAUAGUGGGUUCAUAUACCACCUGGGAUG